AAGGGGAGCAAUCCCUGAGUAGAGUGGCAAACGGGUGAGUAACACGUGGGUGACCUGCCUUCGAGUGGGGGAUAACGUCCCGAAAGGGACGCUAAUACCGCAUGACAUCCUGCUCUUGGACGAGCGGAGAUCAAAGCUGGGGAUCGCAAGACCUGGCGCUUGAAGAGGGGCCCGCGCCUGAUUAGCUAGUUGGUGAGGUAACGGCUCACCAAGGCAACGAUCAGUAUCCGGCCUGAGAGGGCGGACGGACACACUGGGACUGAGACACGGCCCAGACUCCUACGGGAGGCAGCCGUGGGGAAUUGUUCACAAUGGGCGCAAGCCUGAUGACGCAGCGCCGCGUGGGGGAUGAAGGUCUUCGGA
This 363-nucleotide ribosomal RNA is filed under the name uncultured bacterium. RNAcentral's name for it is "bacterial SSU rRNA". It matches the Rfam family "Bacterial small subunit ribosomal RNA", at positions 72 to 422 of the family's 1533-position model. The record is from RNAcentral.